This 430-nucleotide long non-coding RNA is filed under the name Homo sapiens (human). RNAcentral describes it as "HSALNT0323824". Lineage: Eukaryota; Metazoa; Chordata; Mammalia; Primates; Hominidae. The record is from RNAcentral.
CAUUCGGUCCCGCUGCCUAGAUGGGCGAGCCAACCAGAAGCGUGCUGCUGCCCUUUUCACUGCCACUAUGCGGCAGGUUCCAGGUUCUUGUUCUGUGACCAGAAGAAUGAGAUUUUUUUCCAAGCAUCAGUGACAGUGCUGGACUACACAGUGGAGGAACCUCGAAAACAUUUUGCUAAGUAAAAGAAGCUGGACAAAAAAUGGUCACAUGCUGUGUGAUUCCAUUUAUAUAAAAUAUCCAGCAUAGGGGAAAUCUAUAAAGAUAGAAAAUUGAUGCUUGACAGGGGCUGGGGAAACGGAGAUUGUGGAAUAAAUGCUUGAUACGCAUGGGAUUUCUAGAGAGGUGGUGAUUGUACAACAUUGUGAAUCUACAGAAUGUCACUGAAUGGUUCACUUUAAAAUGGUUAAUUUUAUGUUAUGUGAAUUCCCC